This 1279-nucleotide long non-coding RNA is filed under the name Phasianus colchicus (ring-necked pheasant). RNAcentral describes it as "lncRNA (ENSPCLG00000017679.1)". Lineage: Eukaryota; Metazoa; Chordata; Aves; Galliformes; Phasianidae. The record is from RNAcentral.
AGGCCCCCCUUAUCCCCGCCCCCUCGGUUCCCAUUGGCCGCAGCCCCCCCGUUAUCCCCGCCCCCCGGCUGCCAUUGGCCGCACUUGUCGCAGAAGGCGGAGAUGGUUUCCCAGUAGUGCUCGUGCACCGCGAACCACUCGCAGUCGCCGGGCCCGAUGUUGAUGUUCACCGAGCAGAAGUUGUUGUUCUCCUGGUGGCCUGGGGGGGGGGAACCACAACGUGUCACCUCCACCGCGUGUCACCUCCCCCAGUGUCACCUCCACAAUGUGUCACCUCCCCCAAUGUCACCUCCAUGUGCUGUCACCUCCCCAACAUGUCACCUCCACAAUGUGCCACCUCCCCCAAUGUCACCUCCAUGUGCUGUCACCUCCCCAACAUGUCACCUCCAAAAUGUGUCACCUCCCCCAAUGUCACCUCCAUGUGCUGUCACCUCCAAAAUGUGUCACCUCCCCCCCAUGUCACUUCCAUGUGGUGUCACCUCCCCAACAUGUCACCUUCAUGUGGUGUCACCUGCAAAAUGUGUCACCUCCCCCCUAUGUCACCUCCAUGUGCUGUCACCUCCAAAAUGUGUCACCUCCAUGUGGUGUCACCUCCCCAACAUGUCACCUCCAUAAUGUGUCACCUCCCCCAAUGUCACCUCCAUGUGCUGUCACCUCCAAAAUGUGUCACCUCCCCAACGUAUCACCUCCAUGUGGUGUCACCUCCCCAACGUGUCUCCUCCCCCAAUGUCACCUCCAUAAGGUGUCACCUCUCCAACGUGUCACCUUCAUGUGGUGUCACCUCCGCAACGUGUCACCUCCCCCCCAUGUCACCUCCAAACGGUGUCACCUCCCCAAUGUGUCACCUCCAAAGUGUGUCACCUCCCAUGUCACCUCCAUGUGGUGUCACCCCCAAAAUGUCACCUCCCCAACGCGUCACCUCCACAACAUGUCACCUCUCCCCCAUGCCACCUCCAUGUGCUGUCACCUCCAAAAUGUGUCACCUCCCCUAAUGUCACCUCCCCCUGGUGUCACCUACCCAACGUGUCACCUCCCCAACGUGUCACCUCCACUGCAUGUCACCUCCACAGCGUCACCUCCCCCGUCACCUCCAUGUGCUGUCACCUCCAAAAUGUGUCACCUCCACACUGUGUCACCUCCCCAAUGCAUCACCUCCCCCUGGUGUCACCUCCAAAAUGUGUCACCUCCAUGUGCUGUCACCUCCAAAAUGUCACCUCCACAACGUGUCACCUCCAAAAUGUGUCACCUCCCCCCCAUGUCACCCCCAAAAUGUGUCACC